ACUUAAAUUGAAGAGUUUGAUCAUGGCUCAGAUUGAACGCUGGCGGCAGGCCUAACACAUGCAAGUCGAACGGUAGCACAGAGGAGCUUGCUCCUUGGGUGACGAGUGGCGGACGGGUGAGUAAUGUCUGGGAAACUGCCCGAUGGAGGGGGAUAACUACUGGAAACGGUAGCUAAUACCGCAUAACGUCGCAAGACCAAAGAGGGGGACCUUCGGGCCUCUUGCCAUCGGAUGUGCCCAGAUGGGAUUAGCUAGUAGGUGGGGUAACGGCUCACCUAGGCGACGAUCCCUAGCUGGUCUGAGAGGAUGACCAGCCACACUGGAACUGAGACACGGUCCAGACUCCUACGGGAGGCAGCAGUGGGGAAUAUUGCACAAUGGGCGCAAGCCUGAUGCAGCCAUGCCGCGUGUAUGAAGAAGGCCUUCGGGUUGUAAAGUACUUUCAGCGAGGAGGAAGGCGUUG
RNAcentral lists this ribosomal RNA (463 nucleotides) under Citrobacter sp. AATXR. RNAcentral describes it as "bacterial SSU rRNA". It matches the Rfam family "Bacterial small subunit ribosomal RNA", at positions 1 to 456 of the family's 1533-position model. The record is from RNAcentral. Lineage: Bacteria; Pseudomonadati; Pseudomonadota; Gammaproteobacteria; Enterobacterales; Enterobacteriaceae.